RNAcentral lists this ribosomal RNA (465 nucleotides) under Vreelandella stevensii. Its description in RNAcentral is "partial 16S ribosomal RNA". It matches the Rfam family "Bacterial small subunit ribosomal RNA", at positions 338 to 795 of the family's 1533-position model. Lineage: Bacteria; Pseudomonadati; Pseudomonadota; Gammaproteobacteria; Oceanospirillales; Halomonadaceae. The record is from RNAcentral.
CCUACGGGGGGCAGCAGUGGGGAAUAUUGGACAAUGGGCGAAAGCCUGAUCCAGCCAUGCCGCGUGUGUGAAGAAGGCCUUCGGGUUGUAAAGCACUUUCAGUGGGGAAGAAAGCCUUGGGGCUAAUACCCUCGAGGAAGGACAUCACCCACAGAAGAAGCACCGGCUAACUCCGUGCCAGCAGCCGCGGUAAUACGGAGGGUGCGAGCGUUAAUCGGAAUUACUGGGCGUAAAGCGCGCGUAGGCGGUCUGAUAAGCCGGUUGUGAAAGCCCCGGGCUCAACCUGGGAACGGCAUCCGGAACUGUCAGGCUAGAGUGCAGGAGAGGAAGGUAGAAUUCCCGGUGUAGCGGUGAAAUGCGUAGAGAUCGGGAGGAAUACCAGUGGCGAAGGCAGUCUUCUGGACUGACACUGACGCUGAGGUGCGAAAGCGUGGGUAGCAAACAGGAUUAGAUACCCCAGUAGUC